This 258-nucleotide ribosomal RNA is filed under the name uncultured bacterium. RNAcentral's name for it is "partial 16S ribosomal RNA". It matches the Rfam family "Bacterial small subunit ribosomal RNA", at positions 15 to 271 of the family's 1533-position model. The record is from RNAcentral.
GAUCCUGGCUCAGGAUGAACGCUAGCUACAGGCUUAACACAUGCAAGUCGAGGGGCAGCAUGACCUAGCAAUAGGUUGAUGGCGACCGGCGCACGGGUGAGUAACACGUAUCCAACCUACCGGUUAUUCCGGGAUAGCCUUUCGAAAGAAAGAUUAAUACCGGAUAGUAUAACGAGAAGGCAUCUUUUUGUUAUUAAAGAAUUUCGAUAACCGAUGGGGAUGCGUUCCAUUAGUUUGUUGGCGGGGUAACGCCACCAG